GUCAACAUCUACCACAAGGAUAGAAAGGUUCCACUCAAGGAGCCCAAGAGCCAGGACAUCUACCUAAGGCUGUUGGUCAGGCUGUACAGGUUUAUGGCCAGAGAAACCAACUCCACAUUUAACAAAGUUGUGCUGAAGAGGCUGUUUAUGGGUUGCACCAAAUGGCUACCUCUAUUGCUUUCCUGGAUGAUCCAGCAGAUGAAACUUUCUGACUGGGAAAACAAAACUACUGUGGUUUUGGGGACCAUAAUGGACGAUGUGUGGGUUCAGGAGGUGCCCAAAUUGCAGGUGUGUGUGCUCUGUGGUUGAGUAGCUGGCCCACAACUGCAUCCUAAAGGCUGGAGGCAAAACACUCACUUUGCUCCAGCUGGGCCUGGAUUUUCAAGGGCCAUCACACCGUUCUGCUCUCUGGCUGUUGCAAGCACCAAGCACACCUGCAUUUCCACAAGGCCUGGAUAACCCUUCAAAGCCACACCAAACCUAACCUGCUCCAAGGGCCAGAAGUUCUAACACUCCAGAGGCCCAGGGGGUAGCCUCAGCUACAAAAAUUAA
RNAcentral lists this long non-coding RNA (552 nucleotides) under Homo sapiens (human). Its description in RNAcentral is "non-protein coding lnc-LRR1-4:1". The record is from RNAcentral. Lineage: Eukaryota; Metazoa; Chordata; Mammalia; Primates; Hominidae.